AUAGUUAUGUACUUGGCUUAGUUAGAUUGGAUCUAUAUACAUGCUUAUGAUCGUAUAGCGUUUAUCCAUCGGAUCCACGGGUAAAUGAUAGAUAUUGUGUAGGCGUGGUGCUUAUAACGUAUUUAUCUGCGAUUGUACCCAAUAUGCCAGAUCGUGGGGUAGUUCGUGAUAGUGACAGCUUCAUUGAUUCUUAUAUAGUCCCCCUCUCGUGUAUUGGGCUGGCAGAGCAACAUUAUUACAGGGGAGUGAUUGCUAUGUGUCGACGAAAGCUAGUCGGCAGUCUACCUUGGGGUAUACCCACGGUAGUAGUUUAUCGGUAGACGGUGCGCAAACUACGAACUCGAUGGUGACGCAAGACACGGACAAGCUUUUUAUCC
Molecule: long non-coding RNA, 377 nt
Filed under: Sorghum bicolor (sorghum)
Lineage: Eukaryota; Viridiplantae; Streptophyta; Magnoliopsida; Poales; Poaceae
Description: long non-coding RNA (SBIC_LNC011911)
Source: RNAcentral